This 429-nucleotide ribosomal RNA is filed under the name bacterium. Its description in RNAcentral is "partial 16S ribosomal RNA". It matches the Rfam family "Bacterial small subunit ribosomal RNA", at positions 355 to 776 of the family's 1533-position model. The record is from RNAcentral.
UAGGGAAUCUUCCACAAUGGACGCAAGUCUGAUGGAGCAACGCCGCGUGAGUGAAGACGGUUUUCGGAUCGUAAAGCCCUGUUGUUGGUGAAGAAGGAUAGAGGCAGUAACUGGUCUUUAUUUGACGGUAAUCAACCAGAAAGUCACGGCUAACUACGUGCCAGCAGCCGCGGUAAUACGUAGGUGGCAAGCGUUGUCCGGAUUUAUUGGGCGUAAAGCGAGCGCAGGCGGAAUGAUAAGUCUGAUGUGAAAGCCCACGGCUCAACCGUGGAACUGCAUCGGAAACUGUCAGUCUUGAGUGCAGAAGAGGAGAGUGGAAUUCCAUGUGUAGCGGUGGAAUGCGUAGAUAUAUGGAAGAACACCAGUGGCGAAGGCGGCUCUCUGGUCUGCAACUGACGCUGAGGCUCGAAAGCAUGGGUAGCGAACAGG